Helianthus annuus (common sunflower) is the source of this 663-nucleotide long non-coding RNA. RefSeq lists it as uncharacterized. NCBI's taxonomy places the organism in Eukaryota, Viridiplantae, Streptophyta, Magnoliopsida, Asterales, Asteraceae. The transcript is spliced from 2 exons. The record is from RefSeq and is a predicted model, not a curated record.
GCAGGGGAGGGAGCUCUGUUGCUUGCUGCUCUUGGGAAGGAGAGGAAGUGCAUCUCCUUACCCUGUCAUCAAUUUGAUAAGGGAUUAUUACAUAUUUCCCCCUAUUAAAAGCCGUUAUUACAUAUUUACCCACUCUUUAAAAUCAAUUACAUAUUUCCCCUUUUCUUGCAACCGUACCGUAGAUGUGCUGGACAACAUCUACAUACAACAUCUGAUGAAGGCGGUUCUACCUGUUCUAGCCACUCAUUGCAACCAUCGUGCCGUCGUCGGGUGCGACGAUCCUACUUGUUCUAGCCACUCAUCACAACCGUCGCCGGAAUCGGGUGGCCGGCCGGAGGCCAUGGCUGGUCCCCUUUCUCUCUCAGACACAAUUCUCUUUCUCUCUCUAAUUCUGUGUUCUCCGACUCUCUCUCGUGUAGUACGUGGGCCUGCGUAUCUUUAAUUGAAAGAAAAGAAAAAGGAACAUUGGAUUUGGGGAUAUCUCAGUCGAAUGUCUUUGGGGGGAUAGCAAUAGAAGUUCUGGAUCUUUGAUAAAAUGGUGUUUGUGCUAAUCCUUUACUCAAGUCUUAUUCGUAUUCGAUUUUUUGGAAAAACAUAAACUGAUGGAUAUUGUUUUUGGGUUAAUGUUGAUCCAUAUUGAUAAAAGAUUGUUGUUGUGUUAUC